RNAcentral lists this ribosomal RNA (253 nucleotides) under uncultured bacterium. RNAcentral describes it as "partial 16S ribosomal RNA". It matches the Rfam family "Bacterial small subunit ribosomal RNA", at positions 524 to 776 of the family's 1533-position model. The record is from RNAcentral.
UACGGCGGGGGCUAGCGUUGUUCAGAUUUACUGGGCGUAAAGGGCGCGUAGGCGGACCAUCAAGUCAGGGGUGAAAGGCCUGGGCUCAACCCGGGAAUUGCCUUUGAAACUGAAGGUCUAGAGUGCGAGAGAGGUUAGCGGAAUUCCCAGUGUAGAGGUGAAAUUCGUAGAUAUUGGGAAGAACACCAGUGGCGAAGGCGGCUAUCUGGCUCGGUACUGACGGUGAGGCGCGAAAGCGUGGGGAGCAAACAGG